GAUCCUGGCUCAGGAUGAACGCUGGCGGCGUGCUUAACACAUGCAAGUCGGAACGAGGAUUUAGCGGAAUGCGAUUCGUCAAAUGAAAUUAAAUCCGAGUGGCGGACGGGUGAGUAACGCGUGGAUAACCUGCCUCACACAGGGGGACAACAGCCGGAAACGGCUGCUAAUACCGCAUAACAUGAGCAGCCCGCAUGGGCAGCUCACCAAAGAUUUUANCGGU
RNAcentral lists this ribosomal RNA (223 nucleotides) under uncultured bacterium. RNAcentral's name for it is "partial 16S ribosomal RNA". It matches the Rfam family "Bacterial small subunit ribosomal RNA", at positions 15 to 219 of the family's 1533-position model. The record is from RNAcentral.